Molecule: ribosomal RNA, 440 nt
Filed under: Penicillium desertorum
Lineage: Eukaryota; Fungi; Ascomycota; Eurotiomycetes; Eurotiales; Aspergillaceae
Description: eukaryotic LSU rRNA
Rfam family: 5.8S ribosomal RNA (bases 62-214)
Source: RNAcentral
AGAAGAGACCCUCGAUUUCUGUCUGAAGAUUGUAGUCUGAGUGAAAAUAUAAAUUAUUUAAAACUUUCAACAACGGAUCUCUUGGUUCCGGCAUCGAUGAAGAACGCAGCGAAAUGCGAUACGUAAUGUGAAUUGCAAAUUCAGUGAAUCAUCGAGUCUUUGAACGCACAUUGCGCCCCCUGGUAUUCCGGGGGGCAUGCCUGUCCGAGCGUCAUUGCUGCCCUCAAGCACGGCUUGUGUGUUGGGCCCCGUCCUCCGAUCCCGGGGGACGGGCCCGAAAGGCAGCGGCGGCACCGCGUCCGGUCCUCGAGCGUAUGGGGCUUUGUCACCCGCUCUGUAGGCCCGGCCGGCGCUUGCCGAUCAACCCAAAUUUUUAUCCAGGUUGACCUCGGAUCAGGUAGGGAUACCCGCUGAACUUAAGCAUAUCAAUAAGCGGAGGA